Long non-coding RNA from Salvelinus namaycush (lake trout), 1200 nucleotides. RefSeq lists it as uncharacterized. NCBI's taxonomy places the organism in Eukaryota, Metazoa, Chordata, Actinopteri, Salmoniformes, Salmonidae. The record is from RefSeq and is a predicted model, not a curated record. The transcript has 3 exons.
ACCCUCAUUGGUUUGAAUGGUGUCAGCAACUUAAAAACACACUGGAUAAAGAAAUUAGCCCUAAUUGAGGUCAGUAUCAUUGACAUCAGGUUAGGUCAGUUAGGUCCUUAUUAAAAGUGGUUGGAUUAAAUCUACUAUGCAGUUUAAAAAGAUGUGUUGUUUUUGAGGGGUUGCCCUUUAGGUUGUUUAAUUGCGUUGUUUGGGGAGUCAUCCUUUACGUUGUUUAAUUACGUUGUUUGAGGAGUCGUCCUUUUAAUUACGUUGUUUAAGGAGUCUGUCUUAACGUUGUUUAUUUACGUUGUUUGAGGAGUAGCCCUUUACGUUGUUUAAUUACGUUGUUUAAUUGCGUUGUUUGAGGAGUCGUCCUUUACGUUGUUUAAUUACGUUGUUUGAGGAGUCGUCCUUUACAUUGUUUAAUUACGUUGUUUAAGGAGUCUGUCUUAACGUUGUUUAUUUACGUUGUUUGAGGAGUCGCCCUUUACGUUGUUUAAUUACGUUGUUUAAUUGCGUUGUUUGAGGAGUCGCCCUUUACGUUGUUUAAUUACGUUGUUUGAGGAGUCGCCCUUUACGUUGUUUCAUAGGCUUAUCUUACCUGGUAAGUGAAAUUGCAAUUUGAAAUAAUUCAGUAUGUCACAAUAUAAUUAAUUUCAAUUUUGGCAUAUUAAACAAUGCUUCUAUAACAUUUUAUUCUCUGUCCUUAGAUGUGGAAUUUUGCUGCAUUGGUGUUAGUGGUGGCAGGGUCUGCUCUGAUCAGUCAACCUGCUGUAUGACCAAUGGAGGAUACGCCUGCUGUCCCUUCCCUGAAUGGAGCGUGUGCUGUCUGGAUGGUGUCCAGUGCUUUCCUUAUGGUUAUAAGUGUGACCACAUACACACUAAGUGUCUGAAGACCGACGGCCUGAGCAGGUCCCAUGGACACCACUUGGUUGCCGUUGACAUUACCCAACAUGGCUGGGUCAUUCACUGCCACAGGAAAUCAACUGACCUCCGGCUACAAUAACCCGUUAUGGCAAGGGAAACACUGGCAAAUACUGGUGUCUACAGCCAUCUAAGCCAAACUCACAAGAUUUUCUUUUGAAUUACAUUUUGCCUAACUACUGAGAUUGGGAUUGUACACUUUUUGUGAAUGCAUUAUAUGUACACGAAUGGGGAAUCAUGACCCACUCAUUGUUGAUUUCAUAAAACAGACAGGUCAAUAAAAUA